This 421-nucleotide ribosomal RNA is filed under the name uncultured bacterium. RNAcentral's name for it is "partial 16S ribosomal RNA". It matches the Rfam family "Bacterial small subunit ribosomal RNA", at positions 359 to 774 of the family's 1533-position model. The record is from RNAcentral.
AGUUUGGACAAUGGGCGAAAGCCGGAUCCAGCAAUGCCGCGUGCAGUAUGAAGGCAUGAGCGUUGUAAACUGCUGUUGUACGGAACGAAAAGCUUUGGGUUAAUACCCUGGAGUCAUGACGGUACCGUAGGAAUAAGCACCGGCUAAAUACGUGCCCGCAGCCGCGGUAAUACGUAGGGUGCAAGCGUUAAUCGGAAUUACUGGGCGUAAAGCGUGCGCAGGCGGUUUUGUAAGACAGAGGUGAAAUCCCCGGGAUCAACCUGGGAACUGCCUUUGUGACUGCAAGGCUAGAGUACGGCAGAGGGGGGUGGAAUUCCGCGUGUAGCAGUGAAAUGCGUAGAUAUGCGGAGGAACACCGAUGGCGAAGGCAACCCCCUGGGCCUGUACUGACGCUCAUGCACGAAAGCGUGGGGAGCAAACA